Non-coding RNA from Paramuricea clavata, 756 nucleotides. NCBI's taxonomy places the organism in Eukaryota, Metazoa, Cnidaria, Anthozoa, Malacalcyonacea, Plexauridae. The record is from the annotation of a GenBank genome assembly.
GCCACAUAAAAUAAAUUCCUUGAUUCGCAUCACCGCCCGACUGUAUUUUCAGAGCCGUGUGAAAUUUUUUUAUAUUUUGUUAUUUAUAUACAAUAUAAAUGUACCGCCCGACAAAAUAUUUCAAGACAUGCAGUUAAGUUUUUUAUAUCUUAUAUUGGGUUUUUAGUGCCAUUUUAAACUGCCAAUUUCAAACAAACAGAACCUUGAAAGAAAUUUCAUUGCAUUUUAAAGGAACUAUAUAAAAUAUAAACCUCCCGCCUCUUCGACAUUUUCAAAGUGUAGUGAUGAGAAUCAAGGAAUUUAUUUUACGUGCAGGCCUAAUAUUUCGGAACUGAGUCUAGUUCCUUCGAUAUCAGUGUAAUCUAACAGUAAUCGCCGUGAAAUUUGCUGUGUUGGUAUAAUGUACUCAGGUGUAUAAGAUGCUUGUGAUGUUACUCUGAGUGUAUAUCCACACCGGGCAGGCUUGAAAAAUAUGCCUGGCCACGGUGGGAAUGUUGGGUUGUCUAUUUAAUUACUAUUUUUUAUUAACUUCUAAUGUUUACUCCCAGAAUUGCCGCACACAUACAAGACUGUUUGUGUCAAAUGUCACAAAGCUCGUCCUUUGCAUGGAUUCACUCAUUAACACUUUGGCUGCGUCCAGACUGGGUGCCCGGCACUGGUGCCCGGCACUUGUUUUGGCUCCCAGUUUGAACACGACGCUUUCAAAUGAAAUUGGGCACAGUGCCCAAGAACGGGCACUACCUCUAGAGGUAGUAC